RNAcentral lists this ribosomal RNA (305 nucleotides) under uncultured bacterium. RNAcentral describes it as "bacterial SSU rRNA". It matches the Rfam family "Bacterial small subunit ribosomal RNA", at positions 334 to 636 of the family's 1533-position model. The record is from RNAcentral.
UUGUCCUACGGGACGCAGCAGUGAGGAAUAUUGGUCAAUGGGCGGGAGCCUGAACCAGCCAAGUCGCGUGAGGGAUGACGGUCCUACGGAUUGUAAACCUCUUUUGCCGGGGAGCAAGCGUGCGUUCGUGAACGCGCGUCGAGAGUACCUGAAGAAAAAGCAUCGGCUAACUCCGUGCCAGCAGCCGCGGUAAUACGGAGGAUGCGAGCGUUAUCCGGAUUUAUUGGGUUUAAAGGGUGCGCAGGCGGAGGCACAAGUCAGCGGUAAAAUCGCGGGGCUCAACCCCGCUCCGCCGUUGAAACUGU